Molecule: non-coding RNA, 351 nt
Organism: Lonchura striata (white-rumped munia)
Lineage: Eukaryota; Metazoa; Chordata; Aves; Passeriformes; Estrildidae
Source: RefSeq, a predicted model, not a curated record
GACUGAAAGCCCAUCCAGUGCCCGGGCAGGGCCCCUCCACUGUCCCAGGUUCCUCCACUGUCCCAGGUUCCUCCACUGUCCCAGGUUCCUCCAGCCCCCGGGACCUGAGCUCGGUGCUCCAGCCCCUCCUUGUCCCCGUGCCCAGGACACUCCACCUCUGCCACGGUGCGAAUGAAGAAUCCUUAUUUUUCGUUGUUUUUCACUCCCUUCCCCAUUUAACAGCUCCAGGUCUCUUCCCAGCUAUCAUGCAAAACAAAACUCUGGACAAAACUCUCUCCUUUUCCUUUGAAGGAGCUAACGAGAGCCUGGGUGACAUUAAUGGAUAAUUAAAGGCAGCUCUGAUGAGCCCAG